This 354-nucleotide ribosomal RNA is filed under the name uncultured bacterium. Its description in RNAcentral is "partial 16S ribosomal RNA". It matches the Rfam family "Bacterial small subunit ribosomal RNA", at positions 338 to 703 of the family's 1533-position model. The record is from RNAcentral.
CCUACGGGUGGCUGCAGUCGAGAAUCAUUCACAAUGGGGGAAACCCUGAUGGGGCGACGCCGCGUGGGGGAAUGAAGGUCUGCGGAUUGUAAACCCCUGUCAUGGGGGAGCAAAUUAAAAAGAGAGUACCACAAGAGGAAGAGACGGCGAACGCGGGGCCAGCAGCCGCGGUAAUACAGAGGGCUCAAGCGUUGUUCGGAAUCACUGGGCGUAAAGCGUGCGGAGGCGGUUUCGUAAGUCGUGGGUGAAAGGCGCGGGCUCAACCCGCGGACGGCACCUGAUACUGCGAGACUAGAGUACUGGCGUGGGAACCGUACUUCUCGGUGUAGCCGUGAAAUGCGUAGCUCUCGCGCG